UCUCCGUAGGUGAACCUGCGGAGGGAUCAUUACAGAGUUCAUGCCCUACCGGGUAGAUCUCCCACCCUAUGUUAUUAUUACUUUGUUGCUUUGGCGGGCCGUUAGGCUCCGGCCCGACUACCGGCCCCGGCUGGUAAGCGCCCGCCAGAGGACCCAAAACCCUGAAUAUUAGUGUCGUCUGAGUACUGUAUAAUAGUUAAAACUUUUAACAACGGAUCUCUUGGUUCUG
RNAcentral lists this unclassified non-coding RNA (229 nucleotides) under plant metagenome. Its description in RNAcentral is "partial contains small subunit ribosomal RNA, internal transcribed spacer 1, and 5.8S ribosomal RNA". The record is from RNAcentral.